This 858-nucleotide ribosomal RNA is filed under the name Bacillus glycinifermentans. Its description in RNAcentral is "bacterial SSU rRNA". It matches the Rfam family "Bacterial small subunit ribosomal RNA", at positions 522 to 1383 of the family's 1533-position model. The record is from RNAcentral. Lineage: Bacteria; Bacillati; Bacillota; Bacilli; Caryophanales; Bacillaceae.
AAAAAAAAAGGGACGUGACGCGAUUAUUAGGCGUAAGCGCGCGCAGGCGGUUUCUUAAGUCUGAUGUGAAAGCCCCCGGCUCAACCGGGGAGGGUCAUUGGAAACUGGGGAACUUGAGUGCAGAAGAGGAGAGUGGAAUUCCACGUGUAGCGGUGAAAUGCGUAGAGAUGUGGAGGAACACCAGUGGCGAAGGCGACUCUCUGGUCUGUAACUGACGCUGAGGCGCGAAAGCGUGGGGAGCGAACAGGAUUAGAUACCCUGGUAGUCCACGCCGUAAACGAUGAGUGCUAAGUGUUAGAGGGUUUCCGCCCUUUAGUGCUGCAGCAAACGCAUUAAGCACUCCGCCUGGGGAGUACGGUCGCAAGACUGAAACUCAAAGGAAUUGACGGGGGCCCGCACAAGCGGUGGAGCAUGUGGUUUAAUUCGAAGCAACGCGAAGAACCUUACCAGGUCUUGACAUCCUCUGACAACCCUAGAGAUAGGGCUUCCCCUUCGGGGGCAGAGUGACAGGUGGUGCAUGGUUGUCGUCAGCUCGUGUCGUGAGAUGUUGGGUUAAGUCCCGCAACGAGCGCAACCCUUGAUCUUAGUUGCCAGCAUUCAGUUGGGCACUCUAAGGUGACUGCCGGUGACAAACCGGAGGAAGGUGGGGAUGACGUCAAAUCAUCAUGCCCCUUAUGACCUGGGCUACACACGUGCUACAAUGGGCAGAACAAAAGGGCAGCGAAGCCGCGAGGCUAAGCCCAAUCCCACAAAUCUGUUCUCAGUUCGGAUCGCAGUCUGCACUCGACUGCGUGAAGCUGGAAUCGCUAGUAUCGCGGAUCAGCCAUGCCCGCGGUGAAAUACGUUCCCGGCCUUAAG